Molecule: ribosomal RNA, 198 nt
Filed under: uncultured bacterium
Lineage: Bacteria
Description: partial 16S ribosomal RNA
Rfam family: Bacterial small subunit ribosomal RNA
Source: RNAcentral
ACGCUCGACACCUACGGGAGGCAGCAGUGGGGAAUAUUGCACAAUGGGGGAAACCCUGAUGCAGCGACGCCGCGUGGAGGAAGAAGGUCUUCGGAUUGUAAAACUCCUGUUGUUGGGGAAAAAGAGGAUGGUACCCAACAAGGAAGUGACGGCUAACUACGUGCCACAGCCGCGGUAAUCUGAGCGGGCUGGCAAGGC